GAUGAACGCUGGCGGCGUGCCUAAUACAUGCAAGUAGAACGCUGAAGCUUGGUGCUUGCACCGAGCGGAUGAGUUGCGAACGGGUGAGUAACGCGUAGGUAACCUGCCUGGUAGCGGGGGAUAACUAUUGGAAACGAUAGCUAAUACCGCAUAACAGUAGAUAUUGCAUGAUACCUGCUUGAAAGGUGCAAUUGCAUCACUACCAGAUGGACCUGCGUUGUAUUAGCUAGUUGGUGAGGUAACGGCUCACCAAGGCGACGAUACAUAGCCGACCUGAGAGGGUGAUCGGCCACACUGGGACUGAGACACGGCCCAGACUCCUACGGGAGGCAGCAGUAGGGAAUCUUCGGCAAUGGACGGAAGUCUGACCGAGCAACGCCGCGUGAGUGAAGAAGGUUUUCGGAUCGUAAAGCUCUGUUGUAAGAGAAGAACGAGUGUGAGAGUGGAAAGUUCACACUGUGACGGUAUCUUACCAGAAAGGGACGGCUAACUACGUGCCAGCAGCCGCGGUAAUACGUAGGUCCCGAGCGUUAUCCGGAUUUAUUGGGCGUAAAGCGAGCGCAGGCGGUUAGAUAAGUCUGAAGUUAAAGGCUGUGGCUUAACCAUAGUACGCUUUGGAAACUGUUUAACUUGAGUGCAAGAGGGGAGAGUGGAAUUCCAUGUGUAGCGGUGAAAUGCGUAGAUAUAUGGAGGAACACCGGUGGCGAAAGCGGCUCUCUGGCUUGUAACUGACGCUGAGGCUCGAAAGCGUGGGGAGCAAACAGG
This 765-nucleotide ribosomal RNA is filed under the name uncultured Streptococcus sp. Its description in RNAcentral is "bacterial SSU rRNA". It matches the Rfam family "Bacterial small subunit ribosomal RNA", at positions 28 to 776 of the family's 1533-position model. The record is from RNAcentral. Lineage: Bacteria; Bacillati; Bacillota; Bacilli; Lactobacillales; Streptococcaceae.